Molecule: ribosomal RNA, 361 nt
Filed under: Rhipicephalus appendiculatus
Lineage: Eukaryota; Metazoa; Arthropoda; Arachnida; Ixodida; Ixodidae
Description: partial small subunit ribosomal RNA
Source: RNAcentral
AUACCCUAUUAUUUAAGAGCUAAAUAUUGUAAGUAUAUAAUAAUUACGAAAGCAAAAAAUUAUGGCGGUAUUUUAAGCUUUUCAGAGGAAUUUGCUCUUUAAUGGAUAAAACACCUAAAUCUUACUUAAAUUUGUCAAAUCAACUUGUAUACCACUAUUAAAACAAUUAUUAACUCUAAUUGUUAAUAUUUAAAACAUAAAUUAAUUUAAAUUAAGUCAAGGUGCAGUAAAAAUUUAAGAAUGAAGUGAAUUACAUUACUUUUAAGAGAAAUAAAAUUAAAUAAAAUUUAGGAUUUGAAAGUAAAAUUAAAAUAGAAUGUUAAUUUGAAUUAAGCUCUAAAAUAUGUACAUAUCGCCCGUC